CAUUUUGUAUUUGUAUUUAUUAAGGAUCCUCAUUAGCUGCCUUCAAGGCAGCAGCUACUCUUCCUGGGGUCCAAACAAGAUUAAGGCGAUUACAUCAAAAAACAAUAAAACAGUACAUCACACAACACAUUAUUACACACUACUCUACCACUACACAUGUUCCUAAUGUUUUGUACACAAAAUGUACGUCAACGUGUGUCAAAUAUAUAAGUAAGUUGAAAACAUUGUAUGUUAAAAACUUCCACAGCCUUUUUUUUUUUUGGGGGGGGGGGGGUAAGAUGUCCAAAUAAAAAUGUAUAGUUGAAUGAACAUAUGAGACCAUUUGAGCAAGCACAUCAUUUUAAGUUGUGACAAGUGGGGGCUCAUCCAUAAGUUGUGACAUUUACAACUGCGACCUGGCCAAGAUAAAGCAAAGCAGUGCGACACAAACAACAACACAGAGUUACACAUGGAAUAAACAAACAUACAGUCAAUAAUACAAUACAUAAAGUCUAUAUACAGUGUGUACAAAUGAGGUAGGAUAAGGGAGGUAAGGCAAUGAAAAGGUUCAUGAAAAGUUGAGUCAAUGACAGCGGUCAAACCAAGAUGAACAAACCAAUGACAGCGGUCAAACCAAGAUGAACCAACCAAUGACAGGGGUCAAACCAAGAUGAACCAACCAAUGACAGCGGUCAAACCAAGAUGAACCAACCAAUGACAGGGGUCAAACCAAGAUGAACCAACCAAUGACAGGGGUCAAACCAAGAUGAACCAACCAAUGACAGGGGUCAAACCAAGAUGAACCAACCAAUGACAGGGGUCCAGAUAGCCCAGAAUAAGUUGAUCAGGGUAGUAUUGAAGGUGAGUCCAUGUACACACAUAGGCAGGAGCUGCUUUCAGGAACUAAACUGAUUGCCUGUUGAGGCUAGGGUGUCCCAGAUUAGACUAGGUUUGGUUUACAGAAGUAUUUAUGGUCCUGCGCCCAGAUAUCUAAGUGAUUACUUUCCUCAUGUUAGGGAUGCACACAAUCACAGCACUAGAUCAGGUGUUGCUGAUGUGUGCUUAUACAGGUUCAGGAGUAAUGCUGGGAAAGGUACUUUCUUGUAUACUGGAGCCUCAGAAUGGAAUGAGUUGCCUCUGUCUUUAAAAACAACGUCCUCUAUGGACAGCUUUAAAAAUAAAGUAAAAAUAUGUUUGAUGUCCUCUGUGCCCAUAUGAAUAACCCCUAUGAUGUAACUGGAAUGAUGAGAUAGAUGUUCUUCUUCUAUGUUUUUGUUUUAUUAUUUCACUGCCAUACUGUGUUGGAUCUUGUCUAGCCAUCUUGUCUCAAGAGGACCACAAUGGAAAUAAGUCCCAGACUUUAUUGUGUGUUAUCCUCGAUGAUUUUAUUAAUGUGCAUGUAUGGCUUUUAAGUUUUAUGUGUGCCUGUUUUUUUUAAAUGGUCGAAUUAAUAAACUAAACUAAACUAAUACUGGUGUCAUUUUUUACACCAGUAUGUUUAAAUAGAGCUCGUUGCCCCUGACCACCUUUUACAGGUAUCUGAUGUUUCUCCAUAUAGGGUUCUCUAUGGGUAGAUAAAGUGUAUUAUGUGUGUGAGCUAGGACAGCACAGAGGAGGCAGUACUUUUGCAUUUAUAGGCCUACAUUUACUAAUUCAGUAGUAAACAUUAUCCAGAGUGACAUAAAGUAGCCUACGCUGUUCUCAUACUGAAUUACUCCACUGUUUGAUCAGAAUCUUUAUUUGAUUAUUUCAAUAAUUAUAUUUACAGAAUUUUUUUAGCAUUGGUACAAUAAACAGUUUGAUAAGGACAGUAUUACAUUAGAAUUGUAUACAUAAUUGUCACGUCCUGACCAGUAAAAGGGGUUAUUUGUUAUUGUAGUUUGGUCAGGAUGUGGCAGGGGGUGUUUGUUUUAUGUGUUUCGGGGUUUUGAAGGUCCUAUUUAGCAGGGGUGUUUUUUCAUGGGUUUUUGUGGGUAGUUGUUUCGUGUAUAGCUGUGUGCCUUACAGGACUGUUUGUCGUCAUUAUUUUUGUAUACGUGUGUUUUGUUUUGUUUUUCCUUCUUUCUGACAAUAAAAAAGAAGAUGAGUAUACAGACUCCCGCUGCAUUUUGGUCCACUUUAUACGACGGCCGUGACAAUAAUGCAUAGGACAUGUAUCAAAGAUGGGUUUUAUAGGGCAGCACAUGUGUAAUAUACUGUAUAUAUUCAGUUAGUAGAUCAUCUACUGUAAAUACAUAUUUACAAAUCAAAAACUAAGAGAAUGUAAAACGUAAACUGACUUCAGAUAAAUGGUCCACAAUAUAGCAUCACAGUGUUGGGUGGGUUAAAGUAGAAGAAUCUGUGUCACAUCUCUGUUGUCUUCUGAGGCUAGUCACAUUUACUCCUAAACUAGAGAAGUUAAUGCAUGAUGUUUCUCUUCAUCAUGAGCUAGUUGCUCAUAUAUGUCUCAAAGUCCCCUGUGUUACUGCUGUGUAUAUAUUCCAUACUUGUGGUGCCAAGUCCAGAGCUGUUAUAACGUUUCUGCUGUCCUUUCAGCCACUCGGUGGCUCUGUGACGGGAUCUGUGGAGCUCUUCAGCAUCAGUAUCUGAUAUAUUAUCUGUGUUCAUGUCAGAGUGUUGCAUCUGUAAUACUACAGUGCAGUUUGCACUUUGAAAAUGUAUUAAUUGAAAGUAAAAUAAAACAGAUGAAUGUAAUAUUUCAAUAAAUGUUUUGGUAAAUCUUCCAUGUUUUGUAUAGGCAUUGCAUUGGAAAACUAUUGUUAAGGUUUCAUGGGGAUUUGGUGAGACUAUACAGACAGGAGACAGCAAGCCUGAUGCAUCCUGUGGUUGUUAUGUUUGUGACUAAAUGCUCACCAUGACUCUGUAGAUAGGCUAUCUCAUGCCUGCUCCACUGCCUCUCCAGCAAUUCUCUGAAUAUGCUGUUCAGCUCUGCAUGUCAACUGGUUUAUGUCUGUACUUUGACCUGUUCCUGUUGAAACCAGGACGAUUAUGAAAGAAGAACACUGUCAGGUACACAACUUUAUGAAAAUAAGACAAUGCUUGCUUACUGCUGCUGGCAGCCUCAACCUCCUUCUGCUCUGCCAUGGUCUCUGCUCUUCUGCCAAACACUCCCUCUCCCAGUUAUGAGCUCUCCAAGGGUGGCUUGUCUCUGACUGCACAGAAAUGACAAUAAUGAUGAUGAACCUCAAUCAAAGAAAAAGCGCUAAGGGAAAGAGAGAGAAAAGAAGAGAGAGUACUCCCAGUUAAUAGCUGCACUCAUACUUCUAUUUGAUGCCAUCGCUAUUUCCAGACUAUCACAGUUUCUCCGAUCCCAGUCUUUAUUGAGAAUUUGUCCGAUCUUGCCAGUUGCUUCUUCCUCUUCAUUGACCUCUGGCUGUGGAUCAGACUUUGUCUCCACUAGACAAUGGGUAUCAGAAAAAAGUUUCCUGACACCAUCUCCUCCAUUUCAUCCAGCAGCUCUGUGACCUAAGUUUCAGUGUCUUCACCCUUACUGUCAAAGACAUGAUACCUGUUCCCACAUUUCUCGAUGAGCCACCGGAGGGCCUCCCCUUCACUCUCAAUGUGCUGCUCAAUGGUUGUUGUGUCUCUCAGCCACGCCCCCCUGGUAAACACCACUAUAGUGUGUCUUCAGAUGUUCUCUCCCAGCAGCUUCAUGUUGUCCUGUGUCACCUUCCUCUGUUCCUCAGUAAAAUAUGUAUCCACAGGAAUCAUCAGGAGGACAGCAUUGGGGGCAGGAGAGCACAAAGAAACACCUGCCAGGAUAUCUGACCUCACUGAGGGAAGAGUGAACUCAGCCAGAAAGAGCUUCCACCAUCCUGGUGUGUCUACAACCACACCACAACGUCUUGUAGACUUCAGUGUUCUUUCUCCCGCCUCAAACUUAUCAGUGUUCAGGAUAAUGUUUCCAGCAGCACUUUUCCAGACAAAGACGCACCCCAGCAUCAGGAUUCUCAGUUUGUUCAGAAUAUGGGUAUCUUCUGUAUAAGAGGAAUUCAUAGAUGAUCAAUUACUAUAGGUGAGAAUCAUUGGUUGCUGGCAUGAUGCCAAACAAAGUUACCAAAGCAAGACUCAGUUUAACCAAAACAAAUGUAUCUAAAUGAAUAUGUAAAUAAGUCUGUAAAUACAUUGGUUUCUAUUACAAUAAGUCACACAGACACGCACCAUACACAAGUUCCUUAACAAGUUCUGGUGUGUCACACAACUGAUAUUCCCUCCACCAGCCAGGAGCUUUGAUCAGAGUUACUUUCCUUCCUCCCAAUCCUCCAUCUCUCUUUUCACACUGGGCAGUGAUUCCCUCAGAAUGAAAGGCCUCUCUUCCCAUGAUGGUGUUUCCAACUGAGUGUGUCCCAGACCUGUGCGGUCCCAUAAUCACUGCCCUCAGUUCUG
RNAcentral lists this long non-coding RNA (4365 nucleotides) under Salmo salar (Atlantic salmon). Its description in RNAcentral is "lncRNA (ENSSSAG00000084810.1)". Lineage: Eukaryota; Metazoa; Chordata; Actinopteri; Salmoniformes; Salmonidae. The record is from RNAcentral.